This 484-nucleotide ribosomal RNA is filed under the name uncultured bacterium. RNAcentral's name for it is "partial 16S ribosomal RNA". It matches the Rfam family "Bacterial small subunit ribosomal RNA", at positions 30 to 507 of the family's 1533-position model. The record is from RNAcentral.
AUUGAACGCUGGCGGAAUGCUUUACACAUGCAAGUCGAGCGGCAGCACGGGGGCAACCCUGGUGGCGAGCGGCGAACGGGUGAGUAACACAUCGGAACAUGCCCAGUUGUGGGGGAUAACACUUCGAAAGAAGUGCUAAUACCGCAUACGUCCUGAGGGAGAAAGCGGGGGAUCGCAAGACCUCGCGCGAUUGGAGUGGCCGAUGUCAGAUUAGCUAGUUGGUGGGGUAAAGGCCUACCAAGGCAACGAUCUGUAGCUGGUCUGAGAGGAUGAUCAGCCACACUGGGACUGAGACACGGCCCAGACUCCUACGGGAGGCAGCAGUGGGGAAUUUUGGACAAUGGGGGCAACCCUGAUCCAGCCAUUCCGCGUGAGUGAAGAAGGCCUUCGGGUUGUAAAGCUCUUUCGGCAGGAACGAAACGGUGAGCUCUAACAUAGCUUGCUAAUGACGGUACCUGAAGAAGAAGCACCGGCUAACUACGUG